UCCACUUGUACUGGCUACUUCGUCCCUCCAGAGAGCCCUUGUGGUCAGAGUUCUUUUAGAAAACUCCAGGCUGGCUUCCCUCCCACAUGGCGCCACAUCUGGUGUCCCAGAAAUGGACCUCCUUCCUCACCAUUGUCUAGGAGCAUAAUCACACCUAGUGUAGUUCAGUCUGCCCCUCACUCUCUUUUCAUUUCUCUCCUGCCUCUGGCCUAUCUGAUUAUCACUUUCCAAGCCAGUGCUUUCACUCCCCCAACUCCAGAGAAUAUAUGGAAGCUACCCUGCAAUCCUCUCUCUUGGCUUAAAGUAAGAGGGAAGUCCUCAUUCCUCUCUGCUGGGUGGGAGUGGGCACAGCACUAUAAUAGCUGUCUCCAGACAGAUCUCACCCCUGGCGCUUCAUCUCAACUCCUUUUAAAGGUUGCAGGAAGCUGUCAGAUGACCUCUAUAUGCUAGUGUCCCUAAGUCUGUGUUCCUCGAGAGUGCCACCCUGGGACUGUGUUGCAGUCAUCUAACGAGCAUUAACGAUUGUACAUGAGGCAAACAUCCAAGGGAGUUCUACAUUUCCUGCCAAGCACAGAAGGAGAGGGUGAAUCUGGAUAAUGCUUGCGCUUGGGAAUCUAAACGCAAUCCUAGCUUCAAGGAAACCCCCAGAUUGCAAAGCUCUUGGACAGAAAGCAAAAUACAUCCAGUAUCCCUGCCACCAUGUCUGUGAGUUUUCUGUUAGCAUUCUCUACCAUGACCUCUGACUUGUCUAGCAGCCUGCUGGAUUUCACAGUAAGAGUGAAGAUAAAAUGGGACGAAGGAGGUCCCAUGAAACAGUUGACAAAACAUCCAGAGUUAGUGGUAUAGCCUGGGCUUCCUGGCUGGUAAGCUGUACAUAAUGACUCACUGGUCAGGCAUUAACAGCAAACUGAAUUACUGUGGACCUAGAGCCAGAAUGUUAGCAAUGCAAUCCUUACAGAGCUCAAGUGAUGCUGGAAUGCAUUUAUAAUCAGGUGGGGAAAGCUACAUUUGCCCUAGAUGAAAAAUUAGUAGAAGUUGGUUAGCCAGGAUGAGAAGUCACAUUGACGAUAUUAAUAUCCUUCCCAGGUUAUCAUCAUAACAUCUUUGGAUAGUUCUUGUAUACCUAUUGGGUGAAAACAGCCAGAAAUCCCUUGUUAGCCAGCAGGAACUCAGGAGGGUCUGUUCAGCAGACUUAGACCAGUGUACAGGUCAGCCAUUGCCUCAAUAAGGCUACGUAAUAGACCUCCCCAAAACUCAGUGCUUUAAAACAACAAGGAUUCGGUCUCAUACUCACAAUUCUGCAAGACUGACUGUGGUUCAGCUGGUCUAGGUGAGGCUGAGCUAGGAAGCUCUGCUUCAGACAGCAGUUCAGCUAGACUUGGCUCCAGACUGUACGUAUGGCUAUAGACAUGUAGGUUUAUUC
Molecule: long non-coding RNA, 1423 nt
Filed under: Felis catus (domestic cat)
Lineage: Eukaryota; Metazoa; Chordata; Mammalia; Carnivora; Felidae
Description: lncRNA (ENSFCAG00000046906.1)
Source: RNAcentral